CUCGGGUCUCGAGGACUCAGUCUAUAAUUGUGCACCUUGCUGACUGGUUCUGUGCCAGUUUAACGCGAGCCCUUGCCUGGACAGCACGGCCAGUGCAAGCAACAAGAGAAAUCAAAUAAAACAAUAAAUAAAGAACAAAAAAAAUGUACUCUUUAAUUGAUUAAGCCAGACAGAAAAAAAAGUUAAAAGAAAGGAAAAACACAGACAACACAACGAGUUAGAUACGCACAAAAACAACUUUUCGUUGCAAAAUCGCAUGCUAGAAAAUUUGAAAAUAUAAAAGCUAAACCAAAAAAACCACAAAACCAAACAAAAUCAAUUCAAAAUUAAAUUCUAAAAGUUGCAUCAAAUUAAAGAACACACACAUCUAUAUAGAGAACUCAGUAAUAAAGAAGAAUAAAACCAA
Drosophila takahashii is the source of this 406-nucleotide non-coding RNA. The record is from RefSeq and is a predicted model, not a curated record. Lineage: Eukaryota; Metazoa; Arthropoda; Insecta; Diptera; Drosophilidae.